Molecule: ribosomal RNA, 273 nt
Filed under: uncultured bacterium
Lineage: Bacteria
Description: partial 16S ribosomal RNA
Rfam family: Bacterial small subunit ribosomal RNA
Source: RNAcentral
GACGAACCCGUGCGAACGUUAUUCGGAAUCACUGGGCUUAAAGCGCGUGUAGGCGGGGCGGUGCGUCGGUCGCUGAAAUCCCCCGGCUCAACCGGGGAAGGGGCGCCGAGACGACCGCCCUGGAGCGACGUAGGGGGAACUGGAACUUCCGGUGGAGCGGUGAAAUGCGUAGAGAUCAGCAGGAACACCCGUGGCGAAGGCGGCCCCCUGGGCCGUUUCUGACGCUGAGGCGCGAAGGCUAGGGGAGCGAACGGGAUUAGAAACCCGUGUAGU